Bactrocera oleae (olive fruit fly) is the source of this 1818-nucleotide long non-coding RNA. RefSeq lists it as uncharacterized. The record is from RefSeq and is a predicted model, not a curated record. NCBI's taxonomy places the organism in Eukaryota, Metazoa, Arthropoda, Insecta, Diptera, Tephritidae.
UUAAUACUGGUUAUAAAAAAAGGGAUUAAAUUUGCUAUGGAUGAUUGAUUAUUGCCAAUAUAUAAACAAUUUUAUACAAUGUAUGUAAAUACAUAUAUUUCAAAUAGGUAUACAUACAUACAUACACGCACGUAAGAGAUUGAAUAAAGACCAUAUAUUAGAGUCACACCAGGCAACUUUGACAAUUGAGUGAUAAACCGGCAAAACUGCGGGUAAACACAAGCCAUAAACAAGAAUUCUGCAGACACCUACCAUAUACAUACAUAUAGGCGCAUCGACUUGUUUGUUUUCAAAAUUAAGCACGCAUACACUUAAAUACAAGCGAAUAAUUCACUUAUUCACAUUAUGUAGAUGUACAUAUAUACUACUAUGUAUUUGUUGGGACAACUUGUAUGUAUAUCUAGAAUUCCGCUGGCUUUCUGUACCGCGCCAGCUAAGGCGAAACCACCAGAGUCAGAUAGCAAAUGAAAGUCAUAACAAAAAUUGCGCAGCAGAAAAUUCAAUAUAUAAACGUGCUCGAAGCAGUAUAUUGCAAAUAAACAAAAGCUAUAGCGAGUUGGAAAACAAAAUAAAAAAUAAAGUAUAAGUAAAAAUUGUAAAAUUGAAAAUAAAAGGUAAGUGUAAAAGAAAAUAAAUAUAUUCGUAAAAAGAAAAAAAUAUAUGUAUGUAUAAGCGAAAAAAAAAAAUAUAAAAAAAGCAAAAGCUAUAAAUGUUCAAACAAGACGAACCAGUUGCGUCGUGACGAGUUGGAACAAAUGGAGGCCAAACGAAUGAACGAGCGACGAGAACGAGUCAACAAUGAUGGCAACAAAUAGCCGGCGAAAUAUAUGUAGGCAUGUGUGCAGAAAAAGUACACAAUGAUUAUGCAAUCGCUGCGAUAAUAAUAACAAUGUGAAGAAAUAAUAUAUAUAUAAUUCAGUAUAUAUUAUACAUACAUAUUUAUAUAUACACACAUGUACAUAUUUACUUCUUUUGCGCUAUUUGGCUGCGCAAAUGUCGAAGAAAAUUAAAACUCGGCGAAAAGCAACAAUGACUUCGGUUGUGUGAAUUUCUAAAUAGCAAAAAUAUUUUAAACUACUAGUUCUAUUUAUGCCAGUGAGCUAGACCACAACAAGUUAUGCCUUGGGAGGCCUUAUAUAAGCCAGCUAUAAUUGCUUGAAAACACAAUUAAAAUAACAUUUGUAUGUACAAGUAUGUAUACAGAAGUAUUCAGCAUGCAGUGUGCGAAAUAAGAAAAAUGAUUAAAAGCAAAAAAGCCGGCCGGCGAAUGCAAGCGUAUAAUAUUCAUCCAUGUGCAUAUAUAAUCUGAUGUUUGUGAACUGAAGCGGCACGACAUCAACAAACAAAGCGCUAAUUUACAUUUGCUCACUCUAUGGCAAAAAAUAAAUAAAAAUAAUGACAAAUUUAGAAAUUAGUAAGUUGUAAACAUGUGAACAAAAAUGUUUCUGUAUGAGUAUUUGAAUUUAUGAGGGUUUUAAAACUAUUAACUGAUUAUAAAAAAAAAGACAUUCAAUUUAUCUCGGAACAAAAUGGAAUUUGAGAACAGAUUUGAGAAUUUUUAAAACUUUUACCAUAUACAUAUAGUAUGAUUCUGAAGCUUUAUUAAGCUUUUAAAAGUUAUCUAAGGACAUAAAAAAUAUGAAUCACAAUUUGGAGGAAAUCCAAAUCUAAUCUAGCGAAAAGCACUCCAAAAAUGAGACGAAAAACCUAAAAUUCGCUAAAGGCACUGAGGCCAUACCAACCAGCCGAAGCUCAGUAGCCGAUUUUGAGGGCUAUAGUAAUGAUUUGUAUUAAAAUAUGUGGAAAUGUAGUUUUUGU